This 442-nucleotide ribosomal RNA is filed under the name uncultured bacterium. RNAcentral's name for it is "partial 16S ribosomal RNA". It matches the Rfam family "Bacterial small subunit ribosomal RNA", at positions 28 to 507 of the family's 1533-position model. The record is from RNAcentral.
GACGAACGCUGGCGGCGUGCCUUAUACAUGCAAGUCGAGUGGGUUUAGACCCACGGCACACGGGUGAGUAACACGUAGGUACUUUCCUUGUCACAGGAAUAACCCUCCGAAAGGAGGGCUAAUACCUGAUGUGAUCGCAAGAUUAAAGGGUAUCCGCAAGGAUUACCGGACAAGAAGAGGCCUGCGGCCUAUCAGCUAGUUGGCGGGGUAAAUGCCCACCAAGGCUAUGACGGGUAGCUGGUCUUAUGAGGAUGAUCAGUCACAUGGGCACUGAGACACGGGACCAACUCCUACGGGAGGCGGCAGUAGGGAAUUUUGCGCAAUGGGCGAAAGCCUGACGCAGCGACGCCGCGUGCGGGAUGAAGGCCUUCGGGUCGUAAACCGCUUUUAUAAGGGACGAACUUUGACGGUACCUUAUGAAUAAGAGGUUGCUAACUCUGUG